This 90-nucleotide small RNA is filed under the name Serratia symbiotica SCt-VLC. RNAcentral describes it as "OmrA-B family RNA". It matches the Rfam family "OmrA-B family". Lineage: Bacteria; Pseudomonadati; Pseudomonadota; Gammaproteobacteria; Enterobacterales; Yersiniaceae. The record is from RNAcentral.
CCCAAAGGUUAUUUUUUGGUGAGUUUCAGCGCCUUGCAUGUUGAACCCAAAUUCAUUACACCAGCCUACGUCGAUGCGUAGGUUUUUUUU